This 274-nucleotide ribosomal RNA is filed under the name uncultured bacterium. Its description in RNAcentral is "partial 16S ribosomal RNA". It matches the Rfam family "Bacterial small subunit ribosomal RNA", at positions 523 to 796 of the family's 1533-position model. The record is from RNAcentral.
AUACGGAGGAUCCAAGCGUUAUCCGGAAUCAUUGGGUUUAAAGGGUCCGUAGGCGGGUUUAUAAGUCAGUGGAGAAAGUUUGCGGCUCAACCGUAAAAUUGCCAUUGAUACUGUAGAUCUUGAAUUAGUGUGAAGUGAUUAGAAUAAGUAGUGUAGCGGUGAAAUGCAUAGAUAUUACUUAGAAUACCAAUUGCGAAGGCAGGUCACUAACACUAUAUUGACGCUGAGGGACGAAAGCGUGGGGAGCGAACAGGAUUAGAUACCCUAGUAGUCC